GACAGAAAGUUGGCAGAGCAGGAUAAGGAGAUGGAACAAAUCAAGAGGAAUAGCUAAAGGGUGAUCGACUUCAUGCAGAGCACCCUGAACUCUGCAGUGAGGAGCAGCAAUGAGAUGCUGUAAGGAUCAAGAAGAUGAGAGAAAGAGACAUGAAUGAGAUGAACAUUCCAUUGAGCCAAGCCAAUCGCCAGGCUGUUGAGGCCCAGAAACAGCUCAGGAACAACUCAAAAAUUGCUGCAUUUCUAGACAAACUACUACAUGAGGAGUGUCAGGCAAACACCUAUGUGUGCUGGCUCAGGAAAGUACAUCCUAAACUCUGCAGACAGCAGACAUCACAG
This is a long non-coding RNA of Thunnus maccoyii (southern bluefin tuna), 338 nucleotides long. RefSeq lists it as uncharacterized. The record is from RefSeq and is a predicted model, not a curated record. NCBI's taxonomy places the organism in Eukaryota, Metazoa, Chordata, Actinopteri, Scombriformes, Scombridae. The transcript is spliced from 3 exons.